Molecule: ribosomal RNA, 465 nt
Filed under: uncultured bacterium
Lineage: Bacteria
Description: partial 16S ribosomal RNA
Rfam family: Bacterial small subunit ribosomal RNA
Source: RNAcentral
CCUACGGGUGGCAGCAGUGGGGAAUAUUGCGCAAUGGGCGAAAGCCUGACGCAGCGACGCCGCGUGAGGGAUGAAUGUCUUCGGAUCGUUAACCUCUGUCAGCAGGGAAGUACGGUCACUGUGCUAAUCAGCAGUGAAUUGACGGUACCUGCAACGGUAGCACCGGCUAACUCCGUGCCAGCAGCCGCGGUAGUACGGCGGGUGCGAGCGUUGAUCGGAAUUACUGGGCGUAAAGGGCGCGUAGGCGGUAUGUCAAGUCAAGGGUGAAAUCCCCGCGCUCAACGGUGGAACUGCCUUUGAAACUGGCAAACUGGAGUGUGUGAGAGGAAAGUGGAAUUCCAGGUGUAGGAGUGAAAUCCGUAGAUAUCUGGAGGAACUACAGUGGCGAAGGCGACUAACUGGCACAUAACUGACGCUGAGGAGCGAAAGCGUGGGUAGCAAACAGGAUUAGAUACCCCUGUAGUC